RNAcentral lists this ribosomal RNA (492 nucleotides) under uncultured bacterium. RNAcentral describes it as "partial 16S ribosomal RNA". It matches the Rfam family "Bacterial small subunit ribosomal RNA", at positions 29 to 507 of the family's 1533-position model. The record is from RNAcentral.
AGUGAACGCUGGCGGUAGGCCUAACACAUGCAAGUCGAACGGCAGCACAGUAAGAGCUUGCUCUUACGGGUGGCGAGUGGCGGACGGGUGAGGAAUACAUCGGCAUCUACUUUUUCGUGGGGGAUAACGUAGGGACACUUACGCUACUACCGCAUACGACCUACGGGUGAAAGCAGGGGAUCUUCGGACCUUGCGCGUUUGAAUGAGCCGAUGUCGGAUUAGAUAGUUGGCGAGGUAAAGGCCCACCAAGGCAACGAUGCGUAGCCGAGCUGAGAGGAUGGUCGGCCACACUGGAACGGAGACAAGGUCCAGGCGCCUAAGGGAGGCAGCAGAAGGGAAUAUUGCGAAAUGGGCGCAAGUAUGACGGAGCAAAGCCGCGUGAGUGAUGAAGGUCUUCGGAUCGUAAAACUCUGUUAUUAGGGAAGAACAAAUGUGUAAGUAAAUAUGCACGUCUUGACGGUAAAUAAUAAGAAAGCAACGGCUAACUACGUG